UGUCGUCCAAUGGUCAGGACACUCGGCUGACAACCGGGAAACGAAGGUGAACUAGGGUCCUGAGGACCCGUUGCGAACCCUGCAAAGCUCCA
RNAcentral lists this transfer RNA (92 nucleotides) under Myxococcales bacterium. Its description in RNAcentral is "tRNA-Val". The record is from RNAcentral. Lineage: Bacteria; Pseudomonadati; Myxococcota; Myxococcia; Myxococcales.